GCGGCUGGAUCCCCCCCUUUCUAGGGAGACUUGAGCGCCAGUCUGCGGACUGAAGCUCCACUCUAGAUGUUUGAAUGAAACCAAAAUCCGUGACGGUGUCACGGUUAUCUCAAACGCCUGACAGGGGUUUUCUAUCACUACUCAGCUGCUAAGGGUACAAUUGGGCCUGUAGCUCAGUGGUUUAGAGCACUGUGCUGAUAACGCAGGGGUCACUGGUUCGAAUCCAGUCAGGCCCACUCCCCCCCGAUAAGAAACGGGGAUGUAGCUCAGCUGGGAGAGCACCGCCUUUGCAAGGCGGGGGUCAGGGGUUCGAGUCCCCUCAUCUCCACUGAGAGUAGGCAGCAGGCAGCGAGGACAAGGACAAAGAUUUGGUCAAGAUUUCUGGCGGCAGCAGCUAACAUACGGAAGUGCGCAUUUUCAAAGGGAGGCUACAGCCCGGCGAAAUGCCGGGCUGUAUUGUCGAAAGGAAUCCAGGAAAGUUAGUUGCCAGCCGGUGCGUGUUCCUGAUUGCAAAAUGAGGAAUACCCACCGACCGACAACAGUCAGUCGGACAGCACCUUACCAAUUGAAUAGAAACUGCGAAUAAAUAUCGAUUUCUCCGCAUCACAAGUUAAGCUACUAAGUGCUUACGGUGGAUGCCUUGGCGUUCAAGUGCCGAUGAAGGACGUGGGACACUGCGAUAAGCCUCGAGGAGCCGUGAACAGGUGCCGAUCCGAGGAUGU
RNAcentral lists this unclassified non-coding RNA (722 nucleotides) under uncultured bacterium. RNAcentral describes it as "partial contains 16S ribosomal RNA, 16S-23S ribosomal RNA intergenic spacer, and 23S ribosomal RNA". The stretch from base 163 to 236 matches the Rfam family "tRNA". The record is from RNAcentral.